ACAAUGAAGGAGCUUUGUAAGAGACAGAUUUUUGUUUUGGUGCUGAUGUAUGUAGGACUAUAUCUUUGUUUCCCCUCAUAAUUAUAGGAAGCAGAGACUCUCAGUGGUCUGUUCCUUAGUCUCUCCCAUACAAACCCUUUCACUCCCACCCCAUUUAAGGUACCUUCACCAACAUUCGAUAGAAAGGAUCGAAGAAGCCCCCUCACCGUCAAGGCGCUGACCACAGCAGCAGCUGAAGAUGAGGACGACACAGGC
RNAcentral lists this long non-coding RNA (255 nucleotides) under Mastacembelus armatus (zig-zag eel). Its description in RNAcentral is "lncRNA (ENSMAMG00000024623.1)". Lineage: Eukaryota; Metazoa; Chordata; Actinopteri; Synbranchiformes; Mastacembelidae. The record is from RNAcentral.